RNAcentral lists this transfer RNA (74 nucleotides) under Ailuropoda melanoleuca (giant panda). It matches the Rfam family "tRNA". Rfam says of the family: Transfer RNA (tRNA) molecules are approximately 80 nucleotides in length. The record is from Rfam by way of RNAcentral. Lineage: Eukaryota; Metazoa; Chordata; Mammalia; Carnivora; Ursidae.
GCCUGGCUGGCUCAGUCGGUAGAGCAUGGGACUCUUGAUCUCAGGGUUGUUGAGUUUGAGCCUCACAUUGGGUG